AUUGAACGCUGGCGGCAGGCUUAACACAUGCAAGUCGAACGAGUGGCGGACGGGUGAGUAAUGCUUGGGAAUCUAGCUUAUGGAGGGGGAUAACUACGGGAAACUGUAGCUAAUACCGCGUAACAUAGGAUGAGCCCACGUGGGAUUAGGUAGUGGGUGAGUGAAAGGCUCACCAAGCCGACGAUCUCUAGCUGGUCUGAGAGGAUGACCAGCCACACUGUAACUUAGACACGGUCCAGAAUCCUACGGGAGGCAGCAGUGGGGAAUAUUGCACAAUGGGCGCAAGCCUGAUACAGCCAUGCCGCGUGUAUGAAGAAGGCCUUCGGGUUGUAAAGUACUUUCAGCGAGGAGGCGUUACUCGCAGAGGAAGCACCGGCUAACUCCGUGCCAGCAGCCGCGGUAAUAC
RNAcentral lists this ribosomal RNA (406 nucleotides) under uncultured bacterium. Its description in RNAcentral is "partial 16S ribosomal RNA". It matches the Rfam family "Bacterial small subunit ribosomal RNA", at positions 30 to 526 of the family's 1533-position model. The record is from RNAcentral.